GGGUUGUGAGGUUAAGCGACUAAGCGUACACGGUGGAUGCCCUGGCAGUCAGAGGCGAUGAAGGGCGUGCUAAUCUGCGAUAAGCGCCGGUAAGGUGAUAUGAACCGUUAUAACCGGCGAUACCCGAAUGGGGAAACCCAGUGUGACUCGUCACACUAUCAUUAACUGAAUCCAUAGGUUAAUGAGGCGAACCGGGGGAACUGAAACAUCUAAGUACCCCGAGGAAAAGAAAUCAACCGAGAUUCCCCCAGUAGCGGCGAGCGAACGGGGAGGAGCCCAGAGCCUGAAUCAGCAUGUGUGUUAGUGGAAGCGUCUGGAAAGGCGCGCGAUACAGGGUGACAGCCCCGUACACAAAAGCGCAUGUGCUGUGAGCUCGAUGAGUAGGGCGGGACACGUGGUAUCCUGUCUGAAUAUGGGGGGACCAGUCCUCCAAGGCUAAAUACUCCUUGACUGACCGAUAGUGAACCAGUACCGUGAGGGAAAGGCGAAAAGAACCCCGGCGAGGGGAGUGAAAAAGAACCUGAAACCGUGUACGUACAAGCAGUGGGAGCACCCUUUGGGUGUGACUGCGUACCUUUUGUAUAAUGGGUCAGCGACUUAUAUUCUGUAGCAAGGUUAACCGAAUAGGGGAGCCGGAGGGAAACCGAGUCUUUAAUUGGGCGUUAAGUUGCAGGGUAUAGACCCGAAACCCGGUGAUCUAGCCAUGGGCAGGUUGAAGGUUGGGUAACACUAACUGGAGGACCGAACCGACUAAUGUUAGAAAAAUUAGCGGAUGACCUGUGGCUGGGGGUGAAAGGCCAAUCAAAACCGGGAGAUAGCUGGUUCUCCCCGAAAGCUAUUUAGGUAGCGCCUCGUGAAUUCAUCUCCGGGGGUAGAGCACUGUUUCGGCUAGGGGGCCAUCCCGGCUUACCAACCCGAUGCAAACUGCGAAUACCGGAGAAUGUUAUCACGGGAGACACACGGCGGGUGCUAACGUCCGUCGUGAAGAGGGAAACAACCCAGACCGCCAGCUAAGGUCCCAAAGUCAUGGUUAAGUGGGAAACGAUGUGGGAAGGCCCAGACAGCCAGGAUGUUGGCUUAGAAGCAGCCAUCAUUUAAAGAAAGCGUAAUAGCUCACUGGUCGAGUCGGCCUGCGCGGAAGAUGUAACGGGGCUAAACCAUGCACCGAAGCUGCGGCAGCGACACUGUGUGUUGUUGGGUAGGGGAGCGUUCUGUAAGCCUGCGAAGGUGGCCUGUGAGGGUUGCUGGAGGUAUCAGAAGUGCGAAUGCUGACAUAAGUAACGAUAAAGCGGGUGAAAAGCCCGCUCGCCGGAAGACCAAGGGUUCCUGUCCAACGUUAAUCGGGGCAGGGUGAGUCGACCCCUAAGGCGAGGCCGAAAGGCGUAGUCGAUGGGAAACGGGUUAAUAUUCCCGUACUUGGUGUUACUGCGAAGGGGGGACGGAGAAGGCUAUGUUGGCCGGGCGACGGUUGUCCCGGUUUAAGCGUGUAGGCUGUGUGUUCCAGGUAAAUCCGGUUCACUUUAACACUGAGGCGUGACGACGAGGCACUACGGUGCUGAAGCAACAAAUGCCCUGCUUCCAGGAAAAGCCUCUAAGCAUCAGGUAACAUCAAAUCGUACCCCAAACCGACACAGGUGGUCAGGUAGAGAAUACCAAGGCGCUUGAGAGAACUCGGGUGAAGGAACUAGGCAAAAUGGUGCCGUAACUUCGGGAGAAGGCACGCUGACACGUAGGUGAAGUGAUUUACUCAUGGAGCUGAAGUCAGUCGAAGAUACCAGCUGGCUGCAACUGUUUAUUAAAAACACAGCACUGUGCAAACACGAAAGUGGACGUAUACGGUGUGACGCCUGCCCGGUGCCGGAAGGUUAAUUGAUGGGGUCAGCGCAAGCGAAGCUCCUGAUCGAAGCCCCGGUAAACGGCGGCCGUAACUAUAACGGUCCUAAGGUAGCGAAAUUCCUUGUCGGGUAAGUUCCGACCUGCACGAAUGGCGUAAUGAUGGCCAGGCUGUCUCCACCCGAGACUCAGUGAAAUUGAACUCGCUGUGAAGAUGCAGUGUACCCGCGGCAAGACGGAAAGACCCCGUGAACCUUUACUAUAGCUUGACACUGAACAUUGAGCCUUGAUGUGUAGGAUAGGUGGGAGGCUUUGAAGUGUGGACGCCAGUCUGCAUGGAGCCGACCUUGAAAUACCACCCUUUAAUGUUUGAUGUUCUAACGUGGACCCGUUACCCGGGUUGCGGACAGUGUCUGGUGGGUAGUUUGACUGGGGCGGUCUCCUCCUAAAGAGUAACGGAGGAGCACUAAGGUUGGCUAAUCCUGGUCGGACAUCAGGAGGUUAGUGCAAUGGCAUAAGCCAGCUUGACUGCGAGCGUGACGGCGCGAGCAGGUGCGAAAGCAGGUCAUAGUGAUCCGGUGGUUCUGAAUGGAAGGGCCAUCGCUCAACGGAUAAAAGGUACUCCGGGGAUAACAGGCUGAUACCGCCCAAGAGUUCAUAUCGACGGCGGUGUUUGGCACCUCGAUGUCGGCUCAUCACAUCCUGGGGCUGAAGUAGGUCCCAAGGGUAUGGCUGUUCGCCAUUUAAAGUGGUACGCGAGCUGGGUUUAGAACGUCGUGAGACAGUUCGGUCCCUAUCUGCCGUGGGCGCUGGAGAACUGAGGGGGGCUGCUCCUAGUACGAGAGGACCGGAGUGGACGCAUCACUGGUGUUCGGGUUGUCAUGCCAAUGGCACUGCCCGGUAGCUAAAUGCGGAAGAGAUAAGUGCUGAAAGCAUCUAAGCACGAAACUUGCCCCGAGAUGAGUUCUCCCUGAGACUUAAAGUCUCCUGAAGGAACGUUGAAGACGACGACGUUGAUAGGCCGGGUGUGUAAGCGCAGCGAUGCGUUGAGCUAACCGGUACUAAUGAACCGUGAGGCUUAACCUUACAACGCCGAAG
This 2931-nucleotide ribosomal RNA is filed under the name Salmonella enterica subsp. enterica serovar Enteritidis str. EC20110353. RNAcentral's name for it is "bacterial LSU rRNA". It matches the Rfam family "Bacterial large subunit ribosomal RNA". Lineage: Bacteria; Pseudomonadati; Pseudomonadota; Gammaproteobacteria; Enterobacterales; Enterobacteriaceae. The record is from RNAcentral.